UCGCUGUGCAUUUGCUGAUUAAAGAUACCCUAUCUCCUUUGUUUUUCUAUUGUAUUACGAUAUUUUGACUUUUUACGAUUUUCUGGGACGUUCUCCCUUUACUGAUUUAUAUUGAUGCAGACAUUUAGCAAGCAAACUAGUCAGUACAUUAGGCUACAGACGACAUUGAUGUUGUAGUGUCCCUUCUGACUUGAUAUGAUGGAUAUCUCUAGUUAUUUAAAGGUAAAAAA
This 230-nucleotide long non-coding RNA is filed under the name Mytilus galloprovincialis (Mediterranean mussel). The record is from RNAcentral. Lineage: Eukaryota; Metazoa; Mollusca; Bivalvia; Mytilida; Mytilidae.